GGGGGGGGGGGGCGGGGGGGGGGGGGGGGGGGGGGCGGGGGGGGGGGGCGGGGUGCGUGCACUCGGGGGGGUUGGGGGCGGGCGGGUGAGUCACGCGUGGGCGACCUGCCCCUAGGACCGGGGGACCAUGCGGCGACGCAUGCCAAUCCCGGCUAGACGGCCCUCGCGCAUGCGGGGAUCGGGCAAGGCGCAGCACUCUGCCGCCUCUGGCUGGGCCUGCGGCGCAUGAGCUGGUUGGUGGGGUACCGGCCUACCAAGGCGACGAUGCGUAGCCGACCUGAGAGCGUGAUCGGCCACACGGGGGCUGAGACACGGCCCAGACUCCUACGGGAGGCAGCAGUAGGGAAUCUUCCGCAAUGGACGCAAGUCUGACGGAGCAACGCCGCGUGAGUGAGGAAGGCCUUCGGGUCGUAAAGCUCUGUUGCCAGGGAAGAACGGGUAGGGGAGUAACUGCCCUUGCCAUGACGGUACCGGAGAAGAAAGCCCCGGCUAACUACGU
RNAcentral lists this ribosomal RNA (499 nucleotides) under uncultured bacterium. RNAcentral describes it as "partial 16S ribosomal RNA". It matches the Rfam family "Bacterial small subunit ribosomal RNA", at positions 38 to 506 of the family's 1533-position model. The record is from RNAcentral.